This 235-nucleotide ribosomal RNA is filed under the name uncultured bacterium. RNAcentral describes it as "partial 16S ribosomal RNA". It matches the Rfam family "Bacterial small subunit ribosomal RNA", at positions 96 to 334 of the family's 1533-position model. The record is from RNAcentral.
CGGCGGACGGGUGAGUAAUGUCUGGGAAACUGCCCGAUGGAGGGGGAUAACUACUGGAAACGGUAGCUAAUACCGCAUAACGUCGCAAGACCAAAGAGGGGGACCUCCGGGCCUCUUGCCAUCGGAUGUGCCCAGAUGGGAUUAGCUAGUAGGUGGGGUAACGGCUCACCUAGGCGACGAUCCCUAGCUGGUCUGAGAGGAUGACCAGCCACACUGGAACUGAGACACGGUCCAG